GACGAACGCUGGCGGCGUGCUUAACACAUGCAAGUCGAGCGGUAAGGCCCUUUCGGGGGUACGACGAGCGGCGAACGGGUGAGUAACACGUGGGUGACCUGCCCUCAGCUCUGGGAUAAGCCUGGGAAACCGGGUCUAAUACUGGAUAUGACUCCAUGACGCAUGUUGUGGGGUGGAAAGCCUUGUGCGGCUGAGGAUGGGCCCGCGGCCUAUCAGCUUGUUGGUGGGGGAUGGCCUACCAAGGCGACGACGGGUAGCCGGCCUGAGAGGGCGACCGGCCACACUGGGACUGAGACACGGCCCAGACUCCUACGGGAGGCAGCAGUGGGGAAUCUUGCGCAAUGGGCGAAAGCCUGACGCAGCGACGCCGCGUGAGGGAUGACGGCCUGGUGUAA
Molecule: ribosomal RNA, 395 nt
Filed under: uncultured bacterium
Lineage: Bacteria
Description: bacterial SSU rRNA
Rfam family: Bacterial small subunit ribosomal RNA
Source: RNAcentral